Long non-coding RNA from Gopherus flavomarginatus (Mexican gopher tortoise), 489 nucleotides. RefSeq lists it as uncharacterized. Lineage: Eukaryota; Metazoa; Chordata; Testudines; Testudinidae. The transcript is spliced from 2 exons. The record is from RefSeq and is a predicted model, not a curated record.
GAAAAGGCCUAAGAAUUAAAAGGCCUGCAUCUUCGGCUUCUGCUCUUUCUGCCUUUAGCUGAAAGAUGGGCCUAGGGAUUUGAAUGAUAGAUGGGACCUGGGAAUCAAGGACAGGGCAUGUAUCUAGUCUUACAUUUAACCAUGUCAGCUAUUUACUAAUUGGCCCGCUUGGCACAAAAGUAUAUGCAGCUGUUUUCUCAUGUAUCCUCAAAGAUAUUUAAUGCCAGGGGUCAAGGCAUGUACCUUACACUCCCUUCAAAAUGAUAAAUGUAUCCGCAACAGAUGUCUCCUGUAUCCCCCUCCCCAAAAUAAUCCAUGUAUUCUGUGUAACCUGUUAUCUAUAGGUCAGUAUAAUGACGUAAACUAAAUUGUUUGUUGCUGAUUAUAAAAGGGGCUCAUGUCGCCCAUGUAAGGUGUGUUCUUCUUCUCUGGCACUAGUCGAGAAGAAACACCCGCUCAGCUGAACGAAAAUAAAGGUGUGGUAUCCGU